GCCGGGAGUGGUGGUGUACUCCUGUAAUCCAACUACUUGGAGGCUAGAUACAGUGGAUGUUUUUAUUUCACGGGUUCUGGAAUUGGAUUUCUCUGUUGUUGACUGGGAGUCCGCUCGGGAGGAGUUAACACUUUCAACGUGGAUGCCUUUGGGUUCCCCUAUCAUAUCCAGAUAAUUAGAGGGAAGUUGAUCACCCGAAAAGGUUUCCACGUUGAAAUUCGCGGAUUUAAAUCCUGUCAGACAGAAUCCACUUCCAGCAGUCCGUGUAAUAAAAACAGACCUGUAUCUAU
RNAcentral lists this signal recognition particle RNA (290 nucleotides) under Pediculus humanus corporis (human body louse). RNAcentral describes it as "metazoan signal recognition particle RNA". It matches the Rfam family "Metazoan signal recognition particle RNA". Rfam says of the family: The signal recognition particle (SRP) is a universally conserved ribonucleoprotein. The record is from Rfam by way of RNAcentral. Lineage: Eukaryota; Metazoa; Arthropoda; Insecta; Psocodea; Pediculidae.